RNAcentral lists this non-coding RNA (29 nucleotides) under Mus musculus (house mouse). The record is from RNAcentral. Lineage: Eukaryota; Metazoa; Chordata; Mammalia; Rodentia; Muridae.
UGGCUUACAAACAGUUCAUCAGACAGAGU